CCUGACUGCUAUCGGAUUGAUACUAAGCCAUGCGAGUCAUUGUAGCAAUACAAGGCAGACGGCUCAGUAACGCGUAGUCAACCUACCCUAUGGACGGGAAUAACCUCGGGAAACUGAGUAUAAUGCCCGAUAGAACACUAUACCUGGAAUGGUUUGUGUUUCAAAUGAUUUAUUGCCAUAGGAUGGGACUGCGGCCUAUCAGUUUGUUGGUGAGGUAAUGGCCCACCAAGACUAUUACAGGUACGGGCUCUGAGAGGAGUGGCCCGGAGAUGGGUACUGAGACACGGACCCAGGCCCUAUGGGGCGCAGCAGGCGAGAAAACUUUGCAAUGUGCGAAAGCACGACAAGGUUAAUCCGAGUGGUUUCUGCUAAAGGAACCUUUUGACAGUCCUAGAAACACUGUUGAAUAAGGGGUGGGCAAGUUCUGGUGUCAGCCGCCGCGGUAAAACCAGCACCUCAAGUGGUCAGGAUGAUUAUUGGGCCUAAAGCAUCCGUAGCCGGCUCAGUAAGUUUUCGGUUAAAUCUGUACGCUCAACGUACAGGCUGCCGGGAAUACUGCAGAGCUAGGGAGUGGGAGAGGUAGACGGUACUCGGGAGGAAGUGGUAAAAUGCUUUGAUCUUUCGAUGACCACCUGUGGCGAAGGCGGUCUACCAGAACACGUCCGACGGUGGGGGAUGAAAGCUGGGGGAGCAAACCGGAUUAGAUACCCGGGUAGUCCCAGCUGUAAACUAUGCAAACUCAGUGAUGCAUUGGCUUGUGGCCAAUGC
RNAcentral lists this ribosomal RNA (768 nucleotides) under uncultured archaeon. Its description in RNAcentral is "bacterial SSU rRNA". It matches the Rfam family "Archaeal small subunit ribosomal RNA", at positions 21 to 796 of the family's 1478-position model. The record is from RNAcentral.